Molecule: long non-coding RNA, 2722 nt
Filed under: Mus pahari (shrew mouse)
Lineage: Eukaryota; Metazoa; Chordata; Mammalia; Rodentia; Muridae
Description: predicted gene, 26704 (MGP_PahariEiJ_G0004800.1)
Source: RNAcentral
GAGCUGUCGCCUCCGCUCGCACCGGGGACCCAGGCGUGCGACCCGGGCCGUGGGGGAAGCGCCCUGUAGCGCACACUUUCCGUUCUGGAAGCGAGGAGUCUUAGCCGCGGGGAUCCGCUCUGUAGUGCGGGGUAGCGGAGACCAGAGUUAGCGAGGAACUUCCUGAGUUCUUGGCUGAAAAGCCUAUUAACUCGGGGCGUCUGGCCACCACCUUGAAAGGCAGGUGCCAGCUUCGGCCGGUUCUACAGCUUUACUGCUGCAAAAGCCCCAAAGAAAGUUAACUGCUUUAAGUCGGUGUGGUUUUGAGAACCAGCUCUGCCACCAUCACUUCAGAUAAAUUACCUAAAAGGGGCGUGGGAAUGCAUAAAGCCCUCUCUAUGUAGACAUGAUAAACGGAUACAAUAAUGGUUACUAAUUUUUGGGUCCUUUACAUUCAAUAAUGCCUGAUCUGUAGGACUCAGGUAUGAGGUACAAACGAACUUGUAGAAACGCGUUGGCAAAUCCAAAGUUGUUUCUUCUUCUUCUUCUUCUUCUUCUUCUUCUUCUUCUUCUUCUUCUUCUUCUUCUUCUUCUUCUUCUUCUUCUUCUUCUUCUUCUUCUUCUUCUUCUUNNCUCCUCCUCCUCCUCCUCCUCCUCCUCCUCUUUUUGUUCCCAAUGGGGAUAGAACCCAGGGUCUUGUGCAUACUGGUAAUAGCAUGCCUACUAUGUUAAGCUACAGUUCCAGCCCGUAAAAUAACUUUUAAAUGGAGACUUCUGUUAGCUGAAUCACUGUGCUGCUGAAAAAAAUGUCACAUUCCAGUCAGUACUUGGGACACCACCGAAUAACCAGACAAGAUCUGAAAUCUGGAAACAUCAAACUAGAGAUGAAUUUUGGAAAAGAAUUCUUUCCCAGCUUUAUCAAAAAACUUAGGACAAACCGGUCAUGGCUGCACACAUUCAGUCCCAGCACUCAGGAGGCAGAAGCAGGAAGAUCUCUGGGUUCCCAGACAGCUAGGCUAUACAGAGAAACCCUGCCUUGAAAACAAGACUAAACAAAAAAAGCUUAGGACAACUGUAAAGGACGAGGCCUUGUUAAAGAAGUUUUAAUAUUAAUUGUCUUAAUCUUAAUAUUAUUAAAAGCCAGACAGUUUAUGUAUUGAAAAAUGGGUUUCUAUGUAAGAUGUUUCUAUGUAGGAAAUUAACCUUCUACGUGGGAAGAAUAUUUCUCAGAAAAAUGUUAAGUCUCUAUAUAGAAGGAAUAUUUCUCAGCUGAGUGUGGUGGCACAGGCCUGGAAUUGCAGUACUUGGAAGGCCAAGACAGAAGGAUCUCAAGUUCAAGACCAACUGCGGUUUCAGAGCAAAUUGAAUGUCAGCCUAGAAUACAAAGUGAGAGCUGUUGGUUGAAAUGCAGAAGACAAGUAUUUGUAUCUCCCUUCCUCUUGAAGCUUUGUGAACAUUUCUCUGACUAGGCUAGAAUACCAGAACCAGGCAGCAGCAUUUUAAUUUGAAAUCCACAAACGAAGUGGAAAUUUCUGAUGUCUUUGGAGACUCAGUUGUGUCGUGUGAUGUUUUUCUGGAAACAUCUCAUGAGAGGAUGUUUUGCUAAGAUCAGACACUUGGUGUUUUUUUCUGAAAGCUGCCUGUAAAGGGGACAUGUGAUGCUCUGCUGGGGCAGAUGCUCCGGAAGGCAUGUGAUGUUUGGGAAGGGUAUAAGUAUAACCCAACAGACAGUGGGCACUGUAGUGGUGUUGGUUCACCUUGCCUUCUUCACCGAUCAUUGUUUGUCAUGACCACAAACACACCACAAAACUUUUCUUGAUAUUCAGGUGGCUUCUCGCCUCUUCUGCUGACUUGGACUAGCUGGCAGAGAUGGAGGUUCCUUCUGGAUGAACUGCUGUUGCUGAUUUGUGAAUGGUGUGUGUGAAUGGAUGGAGGUACUCUGCUGAUUUGUGUGAACAGAACUACUGAUACCCUGACUACAAAGAACUAUUUCCAAACAGGUCCACACCCCCCUAUGCCCUGUUAACCUUCCCUGUCCACUACCCCUGGUGGGUGGUGGGCUAGAAGGGAGGUUAAAGGGUUUAAGAACCCUUAUUAAAAGUAGGUUUUGAAAAAUCUAAGCCUACACAAACUACAUGAUUUGGAGGGGAAAUGCCCUAAGUUUAUUUAUGCAGAAGUGCAGUCUAUUUUUAUCCUUAAUUGCUUUUAAUUAUAGUGAAUAGCGAUGAAAUAAAAUGAUUUGGGGACAUUAGGGAGUGGAUGUGGAACUUUCAGGCAAUGAUCUGCAUCAUCCUUGUCUUUCAAUAUAAAGUUUAUUUCGAUGGCAUGAGAUUAAAGUGUGACCCUGAGCGGUCAGGGUUGCUGGCUUUGAAGCCCAGCUGCAGGACCUGCCUGCUGUGUGACCCUGGGCAGUGCUCAGCCCCUGACUGUGUAAGUUUCGUCAUCUGUAAUACAGAAUUUUUCCCAGCUGUAGUGGUUUUGCCCGUCUUUUUCCUUCUCGGUUCCUUCACAUUUCUCUAAUCUGGUGGUCACUGAAAGUUAGGGCAGACCUUCACUGUCAAAUUGAACCAUAAUCUUUCAAGGAUUAGAACUUGAGAUGGGAAGGUGUUUUUCUCUCUUAACGUGGAAAAUAGUCCACUCUGCUCUUCUUUUUGCACUGUUUCUGACCUCUUCUUCUACAGUGAGUUUUCUCAUCAUCAUGUAUGUUAACUGUAUUGUUUUGUUUUCUUUUUACUUAAGUUUU